UACAGAGGGGGCAAGCGUUGUUCGGAAUCAUUGGGUUUAAAGGGUCCGCAGGCGGAUUUAUAAGUCAGUGGUGAAAGCCCGUCGCUCAACGACGGAACUGCCAUUGAUACUGUAAGUCUUGAAUUCGGUCGAAGUGGGCGGAAUAUGACAUGUAGCGGUGAAAUGCUUAGAUAUGUCAUAGAACACCGAUAGCGAAGGCAGCUCACUAGGCCUGGAUUGACGCUCAGGGACGAAAGCCAGGGGAGCGAACGGG
This 253-nucleotide ribosomal RNA is filed under the name uncultured bacterium. RNAcentral describes it as "partial 16S ribosomal RNA". It matches the Rfam family "Bacterial small subunit ribosomal RNA", at positions 524 to 776 of the family's 1533-position model. The record is from RNAcentral.